This 501-nucleotide ribosomal RNA is filed under the name Salmonella enterica subsp. enterica serovar Typhimurium. RNAcentral describes it as "bacterial SSU rRNA". It matches the Rfam family "Bacterial small subunit ribosomal RNA", at positions 1 to 489 of the family's 1533-position model. Lineage: Bacteria; Pseudomonadati; Pseudomonadota; Gammaproteobacteria; Enterobacterales; Enterobacteriaceae. The record is from RNAcentral.
UUAAAUUGAAGAGUUUGAUCAUGGCUCAGAUUGAACGCUGGCGGCAGGCCUAACACAUGCAAGUCGAACGGUAACAGGAAGCAGCUUGCUGCUUCGCUGACGAGUGGCGGACGGGUGAGUAAUGUCUGGGAAACUGCCUGAUGGAGGGGGAUAACUACUGGAAACGGUGGCUAAUACCGCAUAACGUCGCAAGACCAAAGAGGGGGACCUUCGGGCCUCUUGCCAUCAGAUGUGCCCAGAUGGGAUUAGCUUGUUGGUGAGGUAACGGCUCACCAAGGCGACGAUCCCUAGCUGGUCUGAGAGGAUGACCAGCCACACUGGAACUGAGACACGGUCCAGACUCCUACGGGAGGCAGCAGUGGGGAAUAUUGCACAAUGGGCGCAAGCCUGAUGCAGCCAUGCCGCGUGUAUGAAGAAGGCCUUCGGGUUGUAAAGUACUUUCAGCGGGGAGGAAGGUGUUGUGGUUAAUAACCGCAGCAAUUGACGUUACCCGCAGAAGAA